GGAUCUCAGGAGGCGGUUUGAGUCGUCCAGUACAACAUCAACACUGAGGAGCUCUACGGCAUCCUGAAGGAGUUUGUUCACCUGCUGUACUUCCGGCAUCUGCUGGUGAAUCCUCGAGACCGGCGCGUGGUGAUCGUUGAAUCCAUCCUCUGUCCUUCACACUUCAGAGAGACGCUCUCCAGAGUCUUCUUUAAGCACUUUGAGGUGAAGUCAUGCUGCGUCUGU
Molecule: long non-coding RNA, 225 nt
Organism: Sinocyclocheilus rhinocerous
Lineage: Eukaryota; Metazoa; Chordata; Actinopteri; Cypriniformes; Cyprinidae
Exons: 3
Source: RefSeq, a predicted model, not a curated record